This 441-nucleotide long non-coding RNA is filed under the name Prunus persica (peach). Its description in RNAcentral is "long non-coding RNA (PPER_LNC001379)". The record is from RNAcentral. Lineage: Eukaryota; Viridiplantae; Streptophyta; Magnoliopsida; Rosales; Rosaceae.
CCGCAGAUGCUUUUGCACUAAACAUUGUUAAUUAGCGAUGAUCGUGAUACUCCUGCAUGCACAUUUCUAUGUGGGCCUAGGAGGAGACGAUUCUGAAUGAUCCCUUAUAUCAGUGGCCGUACUUGCUACUAAAAUAAAUUAUUAUAUGAUGAGCCAAUUAACAGUUGGGUUAUUAUUAUUAUAUCCUUGUUAUUGUUCUUGUUCUUGUUUGUUAAUUAAGUACCACCCUCGUGAGUUGCCUUGCCUUGUUUUGUCAACGAUGUCUUUGUAACACCCCUACGUUUUGUAAUAAUGCAAUAUUAUUGAUUUCCUCAACCAUACAUGUAGUCAUUUUGCAAGGGUUAUCAUCUUUUCUAAUUGAUCAAACAUGCAGCGGGGGAGCAAUUUAAAUUCCAAUCUUUCAAAUUUAAGGUGGCCAGAGCCAAUCUCACCACAAAUAUA